Molecule: ribosomal RNA, 456 nt
Filed under: uncultured Sphingobacteriales bacterium
Lineage: Bacteria; Pseudomonadati; Bacteroidota; Sphingobacteriia; Sphingobacteriales
Description: bacterial SSU rRNA
Rfam family: Bacterial small subunit ribosomal RNA
Source: RNAcentral
AAGCGGAGGAGCAUGUGGUUUAAUUCGAUGAUACGCGAGGAACCGUUACCUGGGCUCGAACGUGAGAUGACUGUAGGUGAAAGCUUACAUCUCUUCGGAGCAUUUUACGAGGUGCUGCAUGGUUGUCGUCAGCUCGUGCCGUGAGGUGUCGGGUUAAGUCCCAUAACGAGCGCAACCCCUACCUUUAGUUGCCAUCAGGUUAAGCUGGGGACUCUAAAGGAACUGCCUACGCAAGUAGUGAGGAAGGCGGGGAUGACGUCAAAUCAGCACGGCCCUUACGUCCAGGGCUACACACGUGCUACAAUGGCCGAUACAGAGGGCAGCUACCUGGUGACAGGAUGCAAAUCUCCAAAGUCGGUCUCAGUUCGGAUCGGAGUCUGCAACCCGACUCCGUGAAGUUGGAUUCGCUAGUAAUCGCGCAUCAGCCAUGGCGCGGUGAAUACGUUCCCGGGCCUU